This 837-nucleotide long non-coding RNA is filed under the name Homo sapiens (human). RNAcentral's name for it is "HSALNT0359540". Lineage: Eukaryota; Metazoa; Chordata; Mammalia; Primates; Hominidae. The record is from RNAcentral.
ACCGAGGCUCCGCCUGCAGGGCCCGCGGAGAGCUCACAGGUGAGUGGCGCUGGGCGGCCCUGUGCCCGCUUCCCUCCCUGGGGCGCGAACUCUCGGCUGGUUGCUUUCUCCACGGCCGCUCCUGGGACAGAGUAGCUCCGGGCAAGCUGGCAGCUGUCUGACUGGACCUGAUGCCACUGGGCCUGGUAGGAAGACAGAAUAUCUGUUUUGGACCUUAACAGGACUUUGCGGAAUCAGAAAAGAACCUGCUGUUGUACCUGGAAAAACAAAAGGAAGCUCUUUAUGUACACACAUGAUAAGAACGCAGAGAAAUAUUAAUGAGUAAAAACUGACAGUGACAAAAAAAAUCUAACAUCACUUAUAAAAACUAACUUGAAAUAGAUCAUAGUCCUGGAUGUAAGAGCUAAAACGAUAAAACUUAUAAAAGAAAAUAGAGAAGAAAAUCUUGGUAGCCUUGAAAUUUCUUAGAUUCAACAGCAAAAGCAAGAUACACACUCACACACCAAAAGAAAACCUUAAUAAAUUGGUCUCCAUUGAAACUAAGAACUAGGCCAGGCAUGAUGGCUCAUGCCUGUAAUCUCAGCUCUUUGGGAGGCUGAGGUGGGAGGAGUUCACGGCCAGCCUGAGCAACACAGUCAGACUCUAUCUUUAAAAAAAGUUUAAAAAUAAAAAUAUAUGCCAGGCAUGGUGGCAUGGACCUCUCAUCCGAGUUACUCAGGAGGCUGAGGUGAGAGGAUCAUGUGAGCCCGGGAGUUCAAGGCUGCAGUGAGCUAUGAAUGUGCCACUGCACUCCAGCCUGGGUGACAGAGUGAGACCCUACCUCAAAAAAAAAAAAAA